Long non-coding RNA from Herpailurus yagouaroundi (jaguarundi), 782 nucleotides. RefSeq lists it as uncharacterized. Lineage: Eukaryota; Metazoa; Chordata; Mammalia; Carnivora; Felidae. The record is from RefSeq and is a predicted model, not a curated record. The transcript is spliced from 4 exons.
UUAACUCCGCAUAAAAAGGAUCAGUGUAGUGACGUGAAACUGAAAAUUAUUCCUUCCUCUGGGUUGGGCUGAGCUGAGCUAUCACAGGAGCUGCCCUUCGCAAGCGCAAAGCCACUGACCGCCCGAGCACCUACUUGCCUGCGCGUCCCUUCGUCUCCUAACUUCCCAUUGAGAAGCACAGGCUGCUCCCUGGAAACCGGUUAUGAUCUCAAAUUGGUGAUCACUGAGGACUAUGAAGUUCCAAGACAAGAAGCUUUGCAAUAACAAAUGAAGCUUUAGGCUCCAUCUGGCCAGACCCUUCUUUCUGACACAUUUUGCUCCUCUUCUCAAUGAUAAGCAGCAAGGUGAUCAAAGCAAGUUUAAAAGCUUAAAUGCCUCAGAAGUAUACUGUCUUCUUGGAUUUCACAAGUCAAAUUCAGUUCAAAUUGUAUUAAGAUCAAUGUUCAAUUAACUUAAUAAAUAUUUUUCUUUUGUAAUUGAAGAAGUAUAAGUCAAACACUAAUUAAUAUGUUUAAAAUAUUUUUUCUAUUGUGACAUUAUCCAACAUAAUAUUAAAUUCAGUUAAAAAAAAACCUUACCAAAUGUAUGAACUAAUUUAAACAUUAAAAAUAUAAUAGUUCUUGAUAAGAAAGUUACUUUCUUUAAUUAUGAGGGGUGUGAGUGAGUAUAAUGGGUAGUAAAUGGAAAGUUUUAGUUUAUUUAUCGGAUCGAUUAUCUACGUGAUAUUUUCCCUCAAAAUGGAAUAUGCUGUGAAUGAAUUGCUGUCUAAUAUUUAUGCUAUA